UACGUAGGGGGCUAGCGUUGUCCGGAAUCAUUGGGCGUAAGGCGCGUGUAGGCGGUCCGGUAAGUCCGCUGUGAAAGUCGGGGGCUCAACCCUCGAAAGCCGGUGGAAACUGUCGGGCUAGAGUGCGGAAGAGGCGAGUGGAAUUCCUGGUGUAGCGGUGAAAUGCGCAGAUAUCAGGAGGAACACCAAUUGCGAAGGCAGCUCGCUGGGACGUUACUGACGCUGAGACGCGAAAGCGUGGGGAGCGAACAGG
This 253-nucleotide ribosomal RNA is filed under the name uncultured bacterium. RNAcentral's name for it is "partial 16S ribosomal RNA". It matches the Rfam family "Bacterial small subunit ribosomal RNA", at positions 524 to 776 of the family's 1533-position model. The record is from RNAcentral.